CCUGCGGGGGGCUGCAGUGGGGAAUAUUGGACAAUGGGGGGAACCCUGAUCCAGCCAUGCCGCGUGUGUGAAGAAGGCCCUCGGGUUGUAAAGCACUUUCAGUGAGGAAGAACGCCUGGUGGUUAAUACCCAUCAGGAAAGACAUCACUCACAGAAGAAGCACCGGCUAACUCCGUGCCAGCAGCCGCGGUAAUACGGAGGGUGCGAGCGUUAAUCGGAAUUACUGGGCGUAAAGCGCGCGUAGGUGGCUUGAUAAGCCGGUUGUGAAAGCCCCGGGCUCAACCUGGGAACGGCAUCCGGAACUGUCAAGCUAGAGUGCAGGAGAGGAAGGUAGAAUUCCCGGUGUAGCGGUGAAAUGCGUAGAGAUCGGGAGGAAUACCAGUGGCGAAGGCGGCCUUCUGGACUGACACUGACACUGAGGUGCGAAAGCGUGGGUAGCAAACAGGAUUAGAUACCCCAGUAGUC
This 465-nucleotide ribosomal RNA is filed under the name Vreelandella stevensii. Its description in RNAcentral is "partial 16S ribosomal RNA". It matches the Rfam family "Bacterial small subunit ribosomal RNA", at positions 338 to 795 of the family's 1533-position model. The record is from RNAcentral. Lineage: Bacteria; Pseudomonadati; Pseudomonadota; Gammaproteobacteria; Oceanospirillales; Halomonadaceae.